This is a long non-coding RNA of Bos taurus (domestic cattle), 2153 nucleotides long. The record is from Ensembl. Lineage: Eukaryota; Metazoa; Chordata; Mammalia; Artiodactyla; Bovidae.
AGGUGAGCCUUGAAUGUAAUUAGGCUUUUUCCUGGUAAAAGAUUAGACGCAUGCAAAGGAUUUAUUAGGGGCAAGAUUCUCCUCUGCUAGCUGUUGAGAUGAAGUGGGGCAGUGGCAAGGAAACUGGGCAGCCUUUAGAAGCUGAGAGUAACCCCUGACUGACUGAUAGCAAAGAAAGAGGAGAAAUUAAAUUCUGCCCAGUGAGCUUGGAAGAGAACCCUGAGCUCCAUGUGAAAACAGAGCAGCAGCUAACACCCUGACUCUAGCUUUGUGGGAACCUAAACAGAGAAGCUAGUCAAAGCUAUGGUUUUUCCAGUAGAAUUGAUGCUUUUGAACUUUGGUGUUGGAGAAGACUCUUGAGGGUCCCUUGGACUGCAAGGAGAUCCAAUCAAUCCAUCCUAAAGGAAAUCAGUCCUGAAUAUUCAUUGGAAGGACUGAUGCUGAAGCUGAAACUCCAAUACUUUGGCCACCUGAUGAGAAGAACUGACUCACUGGAAAAAACCCUGAUGCCGGGAACGAUUGAAGGCAAGAGGAGAAGGGGACAACAGAGGAUGAGACGGUUGGAUGGCAUCACUGACUCAAUGGACAUGAGUUUGAGCCAUCUCCAGGAGUUGGUGACGGACAGGGAAGCCUAGCGUGCUGCAGUCCAUGGGGUCACAAAGAGUCGGACACUGAACUGAACUGACUGAAACAGAACCAGCCACGCUUUGUCAAGCUGCUAACUUUGUGGUAAUUUGUUAUACAGCCAUAGAAAAUGAAUACAGGUGGUCAUUUGAAAGAGAGAGACUGCCUGGACAAAGGCGCAGAGGUGUAGAGCAGCAAAAGUUAAAAUGCCCUCGAGCUACAGCCAUUGGAUUUGCUGGACAGCGGCAUCAUUCUGAUAUUAUCGGCUCUGUCUUCCUGUUUUCAUGAAUAAUGUAUAAGAAGGAGCUAUCGGCAAUGGAUUCUUCCAUGGCUGAACGUGUUGCCACCAGACAGGUCCCUGAAUUCUCUGUCAUUUCGUCUGCAGCGCUCACGGACCUCCUCCCUUUCCCCCGGCUACCUUCUGGCUGCUUCAUAUGCAAGGAGACCCUUCCAAAGACACCCUCUCCCUUGACAUUUUUAAAAACAAGAUGGAAGAGUGGAAUAGCCAUCAUCAUUCCUGGAAUAUAACAAUGCUUUCUUCUGCCGGUGUCAGGAGGGGCGCUCCAUCCAGCAGCUGGGCGAUAAUACCCGUUAAGGGUGCCAAGGACUGGACCUUGAUGACUGUCCGUUUGUCAUUUGCGCCCAAGGCAAGAUGCUGGGAAGAAGGGCGCCUUCCUGUCAGCAUCUAUUACUCUGGAGUGAACAGUCUUUGUACCAUUCACUUUCAAAAAUCUAGACCCACCCCCUCCCACCUCCUUGGAUGCUCACAGUUGCUUCAUCUCUCCUGUGGGUUCACUUCCAAGGAGCUUCUUCCCCUGGACUCAGCCCUCAAGCAUUCUAAUUGAAAAUACCACCACCACCGCCCCCCACCCCAGGCCUAAAGCCUGGCUCCACUACCUGCUGCUUUGUCCCUAAAGUAGAGGCUUACGAUUAAACCACAGAAAAAGCACCGGCCCGAGUGAGCAAGAAAACAGCAGGAGCCCAAGGACUCCUGUGAACAAAGAGUCUGAUUGUUUUCAUGCAAAUUGUUUUUAGUAGGAGGGAGAUAACAGGCAAAUGAAAUAUGGGAGAUAGGCAGAGAUUUUUUUUUUUUUCUAAAGCAGUGGAAGGGGCUGGUAGUUCUUUAAUAAAACCACAGCACAUCUUAUUACAGGGAAACAUCCAGCUCCCACAUUUUUUAUUGAAUGAAAGAGAAUUUCUGCUCUCCACUCUGGCUCCUCUUCCUCCCCUUCCAGUCCAGUGCAAUUAUGUCUCUUUCUGCUUUCCUGACAGUUCAUCUUAGCCUUGUCUGAAAUAGUCUGUUUUGGAAUGUUACUGCUACCUAAUAAUGAAAAGUGUAUCACCAGAGAGUGAUUUUAAGUGAUAGGGAGAAUAAGCAACAUUAAUUCUACUAGUUGUCUGUUUAUUAUUAACAUACUUAAGAAAUACUGUGUCUAGCACAUCCAAUCCAUGAUUUUAUUACAGGUAAUGGCAGCCCUGGUUUUAAAAAGUGAAUUAAUAUAGAGCCAAUAAAGAGAAAAGUAUUAAAU